RNAcentral lists this ribosomal RNA (878 nucleotides) under Bacillus sp. (in: firmicutes). RNAcentral describes it as "bacterial SSU rRNA". It matches the Rfam family "Bacterial small subunit ribosomal RNA", at positions 58 to 921 of the family's 1533-position model. The record is from RNAcentral. Lineage: Bacteria; Bacillati; Bacillota; Bacilli; Caryophanales; Bacillaceae.
CAAGUCGAGCGGACCGACGGGAGCUUGCUCCCUUAGGUCAGCGGCGGACGGGUGAGUAACACGUGGGUAACCUGCCUGUAAGACUGGGAUAACUCCGGGAAACCGGGGCUAAUACCGGAUGCUUGAUUGAACCGCAUGGUUCAAUCAUAAAAGGUGGCUUUUAGCUACCACUUGCAGAUGGACCCGCGGCGCAUUAACUAGUUGGUGAGGUAACGGCUCACCAAGGCGACGAUGCGUAGCCGACCUGAGAGGGUGAUCGGCCACACUGGGACUGAAACACGGCCCAGACUCCUACGGGAGGCAGCAGUAGGGAAUCUUCCGCAAUGGACGAAAGUCUGACGGAACAACGCCGCGUGAGUGAUGAAGGUUUUCGGAUCGUAAAACUCUGUUGUUAGGGAAGAACAAGUACCGUUCGAAUAGGGCGGUACCUUGACGGUACCUAACCAGAAAGCCACGGCUAACUACGUGCCACCCCCCGCGGUAAUACGUAAGUGGCAAGCGUUGUCCGGAAUUAUUGGGCGUAAAGCGCGCGCAGGCGGUUUCUUAAGUCUGAUGUGAAAGCCCCCGGCUCAACCGGGGAGGGUCAUUGGAAACUGGGGAACUUGAGUGCAGAAGAGAGAGUGGAAUUCCACGUGUAGCGGUGAAAUGCGUAGAGAUGUGGAGGAACACCAGUGGCGAAGGCGACUCUCUGGUCUGUAACUGACGCUGAGGCGCGAAAGCGUGGGGAGCGAACAGGAUUAGAUACCCUGGUAGUCCACGCCGUAACGAUGAGUGCUAGUGUUAGAGGGUUUCCCGCCCUUUAUGCUGCAGCAAACGCAUUAAGCACUUCCGCCUGGGAGUACGGUCGCAAGACUGAACUCAAGGGAUUGACGGGGCCC